This 398-nucleotide ribosomal RNA is filed under the name uncultured bacterium. RNAcentral's name for it is "bacterial SSU rRNA". It matches the Rfam family "Bacterial small subunit ribosomal RNA", at positions 358 to 773 of the family's 1533-position model. The record is from RNAcentral.
GGAAUAUUGGACAAUGGGCGAAAGCCUGAUCCAGCAAUGCCGCGUGAGUGAUGAAGGCCUUAGGGUUGUAAAGCUCUUUUACCCGGGAUGAUAAUGACAGUACCGGGAGAAUAAGCCCCGGCUAACUUCGUGCCAGCAGCCGCGGUAAUACGAAGGGGGCUAGCGUUGUUCGGAAUUACUGGGCGUAAAGGGCGCGUAGGCGGCCUUGUUAGUCGAGUGUGAAAGCCCUGGGCUUAACCCGGGAAGCGCGCUUGAUACUGCGAGGCUUGAGUGUGGGAGAGGAUGAUGGAAUUCCCAGUGUAGAGGUGAAAUUCGUAGAUAUUGGGAAGAACACCGGUGGCGAAGGCGAUCAUCUGGACCACAACUGACGCUGAGGCGCGAAAGCGUGGGGAGCAAAC